This is an RNA transcript of Musa acuminata AAA Group (dessert banana), 2129 nucleotides long. RefSeq lists it as uncharacterized. The record is from RefSeq and is a predicted model, not a curated record. The transcript has 16 exons. NCBI's taxonomy places the organism in Eukaryota, Viridiplantae, Streptophyta, Magnoliopsida, Zingiberales, Musaceae.
UUAAAUUAGGGCUCUUUGGCGGCAGAGAUCGGUCAGCCUCCUCCUGUGCUGCUUUACGCGCAGCUUCUCCUCUCGGUUCUGUUCCUUGAUGGCUCCACCAUUAGAGCCCACGGGAGACGAGCGGCAGCUGCUGCAGGCGGAGGAAGGAGAAGUAGUGGCUGGAGAGGAAGAGAACAAAGACGCGGAGUGGUGCUACCAGUGGCCGGUCUUCAGAUUCGACCGAGCCCCGCGCAGGCUCUACCACUUCCGCCAGCAGUUCCGGGCGGGAGAAAGCCCUAGCGGCAACUUCUUGAAAGGGGUGAAGUGGUCGCCCGACGGCUCCUGCUUCCUCACCAGCUCCGACGACAACACCCUCCGCCUUUUUUACUUACCGGAGGAUGCGUUCACCGAUCGUGCGGAGUGUACUGGUGCUGAGAUUGAUGGACCGGAUUCAUACGUUUCUAGUCUCACUGUGGGCGAGGCUGAGACCGUCUAUGACUACUGUUGGUUCCCUUACAUGUCUGCAUCAGAUCCUGCAACCUGUGUAUUUGCAAGUACAACACGCGACCAUCCGAUCCAUCUGUGGGAUGCCAAUUCUGGUCAGCUACGUUGCACCUAUAGAGCGUACGAUGCCAUGGAUGAGAUAACAGCUGCCCUUUCUGUUUCUUUCAACACAUCCGGAUCCAAGCUUUUCGCUGGAUAUAAUAAAUUUUUAAGAGUUUUUGAUGUACAUCGCCCUGGACGUGAGUUCCAGCAGCAUUCUCUGAUUAAAGGAAAUGAUGGUCCUUCAGGUAUUGUAUCUUCUAUAGCCUUUUCUCCUACUCACAUUGGGAUGGUUGCUAUUGGCUCUUAUAGCCAGACAACUGCAAUUUACUCGGAAGAUAAUAUGGAGUUGUUGUAUGUUUUACAUGGCCAAUUAGGGGGUGUUACACAGGUAUUGUUCUCAAAAGAUGGAAAUUAUCUUUAUACAGGAGGGCGGAAGGAUCCUUAUAUAUUGUGCUGGGAUAUACGCAAUACCAUUGGGAUAGUUUACCAACUAUACAGAUCAUCAGAACAUACAAACCAGAGAAUAUCAUUUGAUAUUGAACCUUGUGGCAGGCACCUUGGUACUGGGGGAGAGGAUGGUCUAGUUCACAUUUAUGAUCUUCAAACUGGGGACUGGGCCGCAAGCUUUCAAGCUGCAUCUGAUACUGUAAAUGGUUUCUCAUUUCAUCCUUCUUUGCCAUUGGCUGCAUCAUCAUCUGGGAACCGAAGAUUUGAUUUGCUAGACAAUGUUGAGGAGAAAUUAAGCUUGAGUGGUGACCAGAACUGUGCCUCAGUGUGGUCCUUCUCUGGUUCCCUGGAGUUGGGGCAUGAUGCAGCUAUCACAGAUGAAGCAUUGGAUUCUGGAGAUGUAUCCCAAGAGAAUGGAAGGGGAAAACAUCCAGUUGGUAGCUUGGAUUGAGCCACUGGUUGUUCCAUGAUUACGUUGGAGUUCUGCUGUGUAAGCUUCCAGUUUUCACAAUCUGAGAUAUGAUCAGAUUAUUGUUGAGGAAGACUUUGGUCACAUGAAGCUUGCUUCACAUUGAUAGAAUUUUGAGGUUCAGAAAGUUCCCAAGUCCAUUUGAAGGCUUCUUCACGAUGAUGAACAAUUAAGUUUGCAUUACUGUGAAUCAUUACCAAUAACAAAUUGAUUUAGAAACAGAUCAGUUACAGCUACAGGGCAUUGCAAGAGUCAAUGCCGAGGAUGUCUCAGGUAUGUGAGUGCUUCAACCGACGAUAGUCAGGUGAUGUGUACAUUAUUAUGAUUCCAGAAACCCCGGCCGGGCAUGACUACAUUAAAUUGGAACAAAAGAGUUAAAAAGACCAAGUUGACAUACCUACAGGCUCGAGGAAGAAGAUGAUGCUUUGCAGCUUUGAUAGAAGAGAUAUUUAUGACUGCUUCCAGUGCCACAUUGCAGAGGAGAAAAGGACGCUUGCGGUGGCUGUCACUGGUCUUAUCCAAAGUCGUGUUCUGUUCCACAGAAACGAUCAUUUGUUCUCAUCACACAUGUCAGUAUCUGCAUCACUGUCUGUCUCGGUCCUUCGUGGGUCCCUUCAUGAUUGAAGAGAACUCGUUAUUACUAGAGUCAACCCCCAUCCAUCAACUGCAUCGAGCAGUCCCUGAGCCA